GAAUUUUGCGCAAUGGGCGAAAGCCUGACGCAGCAACGCCGCGUGUGUGAUGAAGGUCUUCGGAUUGUAAAGCACUUUCGACCGGGACGAAAACCCAUUGGCUAACAUCCACUGGCUUGCCGGUACCGGGAGAAGAAGCCCCUGCUAACUCUGUGCCCGCAGCCGCGGUAAUACAGAGGGUGCAAGCGUUGUUCGGAAUUAGUGGGCGUAAAGCGCGUGUAGGCGGCUUUGCAAGUCGGGUGUGAAAGCCCUCAGCUCAACUGAGGAAGUGCGCCCGAAACUGCAGAGCUUGAGUGCCGGAGAGGGUGGCGGAAUUCCCCAAGUAGAGGUGAAAUUCGUAGAUAUGGGGAGGAACACCGGUGGCGAAGGCGGCCACCUGGACGGUAACUGACGCUGAGACGCGAAGGCGUGGGGAGCAAACAGGA
RNAcentral lists this ribosomal RNA (425 nucleotides) under uncultured bacterium. RNAcentral's name for it is "bacterial SSU rRNA". It matches the Rfam family "Bacterial small subunit ribosomal RNA", at positions 359 to 777 of the family's 1533-position model. The record is from RNAcentral.